UACGGAGGGGGCGAGCGUUAUUCGGAAUUAUUGGGCGUAAAGGGCGCGUAGGCGGCCGUCUAAGUCAAAGGUGAAAUCCCUCGGCUCAACUGAGGAACUGCCUUUGAAACUGGAUGGCUUGAGGCCGGGAGGGGGUAGCGGAAUUCCCAGUGUAGCGGUGAAAUGCGCAGAUAUCAGGAAGAACACCCGUGGCGAAGGCGGCUCUCUGGGACGGUACUGACGCUGAGACGCGAAAGCGUGGGGAGCGAACAGG
RNAcentral lists this ribosomal RNA (253 nucleotides) under uncultured bacterium. RNAcentral's name for it is "partial 16S ribosomal RNA". It matches the Rfam family "Bacterial small subunit ribosomal RNA", at positions 524 to 776 of the family's 1533-position model. The record is from RNAcentral.